ACCCGUAGGCUGAAUCCAUGCACCUACUUUUUGAGGGACUACUAUAAAAGUAGCAAAAAUAGGGAAAUAACCUUUAGUAGGAAAAAAGAAAAACAGAAACAUAAAGGUGAAAAAAUACGCAGUCUUUCAAUUCACUAAUUAGAUAUUUUGCGACAAAAUCCUGUUAUGCUACAAAUGCAGAACAUCAACCCUGUUCUUUUUAAAUACCUAAAAGGAUACUCAUGAGACCCCCCAGAACCCCUCAGUGCUGUGCAAAUGCUGCAAGAAGGUAGAAAGAGGGAAGCAGCUGAGAGAGAAGAAGAAAAUAGCAGAAAGCAAAAAGAUUUAAACAAAGACAUGGACUGUCACUAUUAUUAUUAAUGUUGAAUAAAUCUUCCAUAUAC
This is a non-coding RNA of Lepisosteus oculatus (spotted gar), 383 nucleotides long. Lineage: Eukaryota; Metazoa; Chordata; Actinopteri; Semionotiformes; Lepisosteidae. The record is from RefSeq and is a predicted model, not a curated record.